RNAcentral lists this long non-coding RNA (213 nucleotides) under Helianthus annuus (common sunflower). RNAcentral describes it as "sRNA HanXRQr2_Chr04g0139621". The record is from RNAcentral. Lineage: Eukaryota; Viridiplantae; Streptophyta; Magnoliopsida; Asterales; Asteraceae.
ACAAAUCAUCAGAUUCACAUCCCAAAUGUAUGGCUACGAUUAUUGAGUAAACCUUGCGAAUAAAAGACCACCGGAGUUCCGGCGACUCCGUCAUCGGACCACAACUUCAUGUCGCGAUGUGAACCCACCGGAUCUCCAAAGAAUCGUUAUCUCCGGCGACGGUUAAGCAGCCGGAGAUCGGCGUCGUCGCUGCCGGUGAAUGUGCCGAACUGA